Molecule: long non-coding RNA, 333 nt
Filed under: Felis catus (domestic cat)
Lineage: Eukaryota; Metazoa; Chordata; Mammalia; Carnivora; Felidae
Description: lncRNA (ENSFCAG00000041857.2)
Source: RNAcentral
AUGAUGAAAUGUCAAACUAAACACUUGCAUGGAUGUGAGUGGCUGCUUUUUUCACUACAAGCAAAGCUACACUAUUAUGAUGAGAAGUUUGAUUGUGAGAAAGGAAUCAAAACCCAGCUUCUGAACUUUGUGGCAUUAGGUUCUGCUGGUUAUCUAUUGGACUCUGACCUUACCCAUGAUGUCUUAACUGUUGCUCAGCCUUCCCACAUUCUCUCACCUGUACUACAUCUUGCAAGAUUCUACAAAAUUUCUGAGAUAAAAGAACAAGAUGACACAGGGAGGCAAGGAAACUGGCGAAUGUUGAUUUUAUGUCAUGUGCCAAGAAAGGUGUGA